UGGGGAAUAUUGCACAAUGGGCGCAAGCCUGAAGCAGCCAUGCCGCGUGUGUGAAGAAGGCCUUCGGGUUGUAAAGCACUUUCAGCGGGGAGGAAGGCGAUAAGGUUAAUAACCUCAUCGAUUGACGUUACCCGCAGAAGAAGCACCGGCUAACUCCGUGCCAGCAGCCGCGGUAAUACGGAGGGUGCAAGCGUUAAUCGGAAUUACUGGGCGUAAAGCGCACGCAGGCGGUCUGUCAAGUCGGAUGUGAAAUCCCCGGGCUCAACCUGGGAACUGCAUUCGAAACUGGCAGGCUAGAGUCUUGUAGAGGGGGGUAGAAUUCCAGGUGUAGCGGUGAAAUGCGUAGAGAUCUGGAGGAAUACCGGUGGCGAAGGCGGCCCCCUGGACAAAGACUGACGCUCAGGUGCGAAAGCGUGGGGAGCAAACAGG
RNAcentral lists this ribosomal RNA (429 nucleotides) under Chloroflexota bacterium. Its description in RNAcentral is "Chloroflexi bacterium partial 16S ribosomal RNA". It matches the Rfam family "Bacterial small subunit ribosomal RNA", at positions 355 to 776 of the family's 1533-position model. The record is from RNAcentral. Lineage: Bacteria; Bacillati; Chloroflexota.